RNAcentral lists this ribosomal RNA (86 nucleotides) under Streptomyces sp. WMMB 322. RNAcentral's name for it is "16S rRNA. Bacterial SSU". It matches the Rfam family "Bacterial small subunit ribosomal RNA", at positions 19 to 105 of the family's 1533-position model. Lineage: Bacteria; Bacillati; Actinomycetota; Actinomycetes; Kitasatosporales; Streptomycetaceae. The record is from RNAcentral.
CUGGCUCAGGACGAACGCUGGCGGCGUGCUUAACACAUGCAAGUCGAACGAUGAAGCCCUUUCGGGGGUGGAUUAGUGGCGAACGG